RNAcentral lists this long non-coding RNA (3085 nucleotides) under Homo sapiens (human). Its description in RNAcentral is "HSALNT0244140". Lineage: Eukaryota; Metazoa; Chordata; Mammalia; Primates; Hominidae. The record is from RNAcentral.
UCACGCCAUUCUCCUGCCUCAGCCUCCCGAGUAGCUGGGACUACAGGCGCCCGCCACCACGCCCAGCUAAUUUUUUCUAUUUUUAGUAGAGACGGGGUUUCACCGUGUUAGCCAGGAUGGUCUCGAUCUCCUGACCUCGUGAUCUGCCCGCCUCGGUAAAUAACAAACAUUGGCGAAGAUGUGGAGAAACUGAAACCCUUAUGCACUGCUGGUGAGAAUGUCCAAUGGUACAGCUGCUGGGUGUAUAUCAUUUUUUCUUACGUGCUUCAAAUAGUAACAUAUCUAUUCCCUCACCCUAUGACAAAUCUCAAUACAAUGCUGAUGUCAAUCUUUAGUCUUCUCCUCUCCAGGCCAAACAAUCCUAGUUUUCUCAUGGCAGUGUCUUGAUCAUUCACUACCCUAAGUCUCCUCUGGGUGCUUUCUAAUUUACUCCUAAUGUUCUUUCUAAAAUGCUCACCUAAAUUCUGUAUAAUCUGGACAACACAUGGUACAGUAGAACUAUUUUUUGCCCAUGCUCUUACUGCUGUAUAUUACUCUUACUGCUGGAUAUUACCAUAAAACCUAACAUUGUAUUAGGCUUCAAUUAGAGUUCACAUCAGAGUGUUGCUUCAUAUAUUUAAAAGCACAGAUUUUAUAGCAAUUAAUUAAAUGAACAUAAUUUAAAAGAGUUGCUGUUAACUAUAAACUUAGAAAAGUCUAUACAUAAAAAUCUUUAUGAAGAAAUUCAUCCUCAGAUACCGUAUAACAGCAGAAUGUGUUAUAUACUAUUAUGACUGUAAUUCACAGCAUACAUAUACUAUGUGGCAUUGAUAUAAUUAUGGUCACAGAAAAGGUAUAUUUGUUAAUACUUAUUUUAUUUGGAUAUAAAAACUUAAUAAACAUGUAAAUGAAUUCAACCUUUAAUUGCCAAACCUGGCAUUAAAGAACUUGAUAUGAAAUGAACACAUAACUUCAGAAAAGAGAUCUUGAGUACUAAAAAUCCAAUGUGAACACACUUUAGAUUUAAGCAUUUGAAUGACUGAAUUCAUUUCAAUUGACACUUACCUUGAACAUUUAGCACCCUUUCUACAUUAACAUCAGAUAAUCUCUUUUUUCGAAGUUCAGCACGUAUUCUAAACACUUGAUCAGCAUAUGGAGUCACCACACCAAUACUGCCAUCAUCUAACUUCCCCCACGCUACUGGCCACUUCCUUCUUAACUCUUCUACACGUUCCACCACUUCAAACACCUUUAAAAACAAACACACACAUACAUAUUAAAGUUAUCACCAAUGUUUGGAGAAAAUAAUAUCGUAACUAAAACUGAUUUAUAAAGGAUCCCAUUUUAGCAGAUGUCAUUUAAAAAAAAAAAAAAACUACCCCUAAAUGGGAGUAAUGCUUUGCUGAUGUGAACUGAAUGAGAAUAUAAAUUUUUCAUUUACAUUUUAAACAGUAAAAUUCUCCAAUAAUACAACCAGUGAAAACAUGAAAAUCAGGGACAAUGCUAUUGGCCCCCAAGUUCCUGUGUAGGGAGGAACAAGCUCAAGUUCCUGUGUGGGAAAAAGACAGGCCAUGAUUCUAGGGAAGGCAAGUUCUCACAGCCCCAGUAAUUCUCAGUCCACUCUCUCCAGAUCAGGCCAAUGAAACUAACCAACCAACUAGAAGCUUCCUGUCAUCAGUGACAUCACUAAGUCCCAGCAGUACAAGGUCUAACAUUGUCCCCUUCCUCACUGAUAUAACUAAGCAGACCAGCCAACAGCCACCAAUUGACAACAAACCACAGCUGGGACUAGGCCACAUUUGGAUCACAGAGAAAGACUUUCAGAAUUCACUGCCUGCUAGUGGUACAAGUCCAGCCAAGCCAUUUCAUUAACCUUGCAAUAAAGCAAUGCCACAGUUUAUGCAACUGAAUUUUUCAGACCCCAAUUACUGGAUUAUGAUAGGGUUUUUAGGAUAGUUUGUUCUAUUUUAAUUCAAUGAAUUGAUCAAACAGUUUCAAUGUCUGGCACAGUGGAGAAGGUACAAAAGUUAAUAAAACAUGUUCCUUGCCCGCUACUUACUGAGAAGAACUUAUGGUUUAUUUAGAAAAGAGAGUCAUAAUAAAAAAAAUAUAUAAGGCAAGCACAAAUAGAGGGUCAGUCAAGAGUCCAGGGGCAUACAGAGGAAGGAGGUGUGUUUUCAAAUGUCUUUAAGUACAUCGUUUCUUUAUUAUUUACUAACAGUAUCUAUUUUAAUUUAUAAUAUUAAAUAUAUUUAAUAAAAAUUGACAAUUUUCAUCCUUUGAAAAACUUGAGGUUACUGACUACGAAGCAGUUCCCAUGUCCAGAUACAAAUUCAGUGAACUACAGAGGUAAGGACUACAGUCAUCCUAUCGUUAUUAUGAUACAGCAGCAAGUGUAUCACAUACACAGACUACCCAGGGAAGGUGAAGAGCAAACUGGACUAAAGACAUGGCAUUCUCACUAUCAGGAAACAGAGUAGACAUACUCAGUCUACUGCAAUAAGGAAUAAGAAAAAGUUAUCUUUACCCAUGUGGUUAGAUGUGGGGAUAGAUGAGUUGGGAGACACCUCUGCUGCGCCCUCCCACCCCACAGAGUUCCCACCUCUAAGCAACACACAACCAUUUCUGCACUUUAUCCUCCUGUCAUGUAGUCAAAAAACAGACUUAGAAUGAUGAUAUGAGUCAUUCUGGGAAACCUCUCUCCCAGAAAAACAUCUUCUAAGCUGGUCAAAAUUAGCAAAGACAAUCAUUCAAAGUCUCUAAAGACAGAUCAAAGAGGUUACAAGAAAUUGAGAAGCAUCCAUCUAUUCAACAAAACCUGUAAAAACUCACUGAGAACAGUGGAAGGUUGAGGCCUACAAGCUAUGGACUGCCCCCUUUCCCCCACAGCUCUUACAGAACUGUUUUAACGGCCAAGGGGCAAUUCCCAUCGCCCUAGCUCCCUCCUAUUCCAGGUACUUUUGGCAGCUGGUAAACAUUGGCAGAUUUCAUUUUUCACAGCUUUGUGCUGCAGAAGGCCUAUGAUAAGCAGUUGGUAGUAGUCAGGUGGUACCCAACCCCCAUCUCCUGCUACAUAGGGAGUGGGACAGUGGGUGGCAGUGCAGUC